This is a non-coding RNA of Xylariales sp. PMI_506, 99 nucleotides long. The record is from the annotation of a GenBank genome assembly. Lineage: Eukaryota; Fungi; Ascomycota; Sordariomycetes; Xylariales.
GGCGAGAUGGCCGAGUUGGUUAUGGCGUCAGGUUAAGGUCACCUUAGCACUUAAUUCCUGGUGGAGCAAUCCGCGUGGGUUCGAGUCCCACUCUCGUCA